AUACGUAGGGAGCGAGCGUUGUCCGGAAUUACUGGGCGUAAAGGGAGCGUAGGCGGGAGUGCAAGUCAGAUGUGAAAUACAUGGGCUCAACCCAUGGGCGGCAUUUGAAACUGCAUUUCUUGCGUGAAGUAGAGGUAAGCGGAAUUCCUGGGGUAGCGGUGAAAUGCGUAGAUAUCAGGAGGAACACCGGUGGCGAAGGCGGCUUACUGGGCUUUUACUGACGCUGAGGCUCGAAAGCGUGGGGAGCAAACAGGAUUAGAUACCCUGGUAGUCCACGCUGUAAACGAUGAUUACUAGGUGUGGGGGGACUGACCCCUUCCGUGCCGCAGUUAACACAAUAAGUAAUCCACCUGGGGAGUACGGCCGCAAGGUUGAAACUCAAAUGAAUUGACGGGG
RNAcentral lists this ribosomal RNA (396 nucleotides) under uncultured bacterium. Its description in RNAcentral is "partial 16S ribosomal RNA". It matches the Rfam family "Bacterial small subunit ribosomal RNA", at positions 523 to 918 of the family's 1533-position model. The record is from RNAcentral.